This 294-nucleotide ribosomal RNA is filed under the name uncultured bacterium. RNAcentral describes it as "partial 16S ribosomal RNA". It matches the Rfam family "Bacterial small subunit ribosomal RNA", at positions 28 to 320 of the family's 1533-position model. The record is from RNAcentral.
GAUGAACGCUGGCGGCGUGCUUAACACAUGCAAGUCGAACGAUGACCCGGUGCUUGCACCGGUGAUUAGUGGCGAACGGGUGAGUAACACGUGAGUAACCUGCCCUUAACUCUGGGAUAAGCCUGGGAAACCGGGUCUAAUACCGGAUAUGACCUCCUGCCGCAUGGUGGGGGGUGAAAGUCUUUUUUGUGGUUUUGGAUGGACUCGCGGCCUAUCAGCUUGUUGGUGAGGUAAUGGCNCACCAAGGCGACGAUCAGUAGCUGGUCUGAGAGGAUGAUCAGCCACACUGGGACU